This 623-nucleotide ribosomal RNA is filed under the name uncultured bacterium. RNAcentral describes it as "bacterial SSU rRNA". It matches the Rfam family "Bacterial small subunit ribosomal RNA", at positions 29 to 680 of the family's 1533-position model. The record is from RNAcentral.
AUGAACGCUGGCGGCAGGCCUAACACAUGCAAGUCGAACGGAGUUAUAUUGUAGCUUGCUAUGGUAUAACUUAGUGGCAGACGGGUGAGUAAUGUAUAGGAAUCUACCUAGUAGUACGGAAUAAUUGUUGGAAACGGCAACUAAUACCGUAUACGCCCUACGGGGGAAAAAUUUAUUGCUAUUAGAUGAGCCUAUAUUAGAUUAGCUAGUUGGUGGAGUAAUAGCCUACCAAGGCAAUGAUCUAUAGCUGAUCUGAGAGGAUGAUCAGCCACACUGGAACUGAGAUACGGUCCAGACUCCUACGGGAGGCAGCAGUGGGGAAUAUUGGACAAUGGGCGAAAGCCUGAUCCAGCCAUGCCGCAUGAGUGAAGAAGGCCUUUGGGUUGUAAAGCUCUUUUAGUGAGGAAGAUAAUGACGGUACUCACAGAAGAAGUCCUGGCUAACUCCGUGCCAGCAGCCGCGGUAAUACGGAGGGGGCUAGCGUUAUUCGGAAUUAUUGGGCGUAAAGGGCGCGUAGGCGGAUUAGUAAGUUAAAAGUGAAAUCCCAAGGCUCAACCUUGGAAUUGCUUUUAAAACUGCUAAUCUAGAGAUUGAGAGAGGAUAGAGGAAUUCCUAGUGUAGAG